RNAcentral lists this ribosomal RNA (484 nucleotides) under uncultured bacterium. RNAcentral's name for it is "partial 16S ribosomal RNA". It matches the Rfam family "Bacterial small subunit ribosomal RNA", at positions 30 to 507 of the family's 1533-position model. The record is from RNAcentral.
AUUGAACGCUGGCGGCAGGCCUAACACAUGCAAGUCGAGCGGAUGAAGGGAGCUUGCUCCUGGAUUCAGCGGCGGACGGGUGAGUAAUGCCUAGGAAUCUGCCUGGUAGUGGGGGAUAACGUCCGGAAACGGGCGCUAAUACCGCAUAUGUCCUGAGGGAGAAAGUGGGGGAUCUUCGGACCUCACGCUAUCAGAUGAGCCUAGGUCGGAUUAGCUAGUUGGUGGGGUAAAGGCCUACCAAGGCGACGAUCCGUAACUGGUCUGAGAGGAUGAUCAGUCACACUGGAACUGAGACACGGUCCAGACUCCUACGGGAGGCAGCAGUGGGGAAUAUUGGUCAAUGGGCGAAAGCCUGAUCCAGCCAUGCCGCGUGUGUGAAGAAGGUCUUCGGAUUGUAAAGCACUUUAAGUUGGGAGGAAGGGCAGUAAGUUAAUACCUUGCUGUUUUGACGUUACCAACAGAAUAAGCACCGGCUAACUUCGUG